RNAcentral lists this ribosomal RNA (364 nucleotides) under uncultured eukaryote. RNAcentral's name for it is "partial 18S ribosomal RNA". It matches the Rfam family "Eukaryotic small subunit ribosomal RNA", at positions 592 to 976 of the family's 1831-position model. The record is from RNAcentral.
CAAAAGCGUAUAUUAAAGUUGUUGCAGUUAAAAAGCUCGUAGUUGAACCUUGGGCUUGGCUGGCCGGUCCGUCUUUUUUGAUGCGUACUGGACCCAGCCGAGCCUUUCCUUCUGGCUAGCCUUUUGGCGAACCAGGACUUUUACUUUGAAAAAAUUAGAGUGUUCAAAGCAGGCCUUUGCUCGAAUAUAUUAGCAUGGAAUAAUAGAAUAGGACGUUAUGGUUCUAUUUUGUUGGUUUCUAGGACCAUCGUAAUGAUUAAUAGGGACGGUCGGGGGUAUCAGUAUUCAGUUGUCAGAGGUGAAAUUCUUGGAUUUACUGAAGACUAACUACUGCGAAAGCAUUUACCAAGGACGUUUUCAUUAA